CCCCAAUAUUGUUCACCACUGCUGUGCUCUCCAUCCCCUUCGAUUGGAGCUUGAUAGAGGAACACCUUUUCUUGGCCAAUGAAUUUGUGAGAGAGUAAAUCCGUUUCUGGGCACUAUAGAGUUCAUUACAAAGUCAGACAACCUUCUCGGUAGCACCCCAUCUAGCUUCCUCGGUAGCUUUGGUAGAGUCAAUGUGCUGCUCCAAAGUCAAUAUCUUCUCUCAAGCUGAGUGAAGCUCACUCUAAUAUUGGGCGACCUUCACAGCUGAACCCCAUGUCUUGCCAAUCGCUUGCAUUCCUCGAUCAACUGGGCCCUUUCUGAGAUGUGCGCCUUAUCUCCUACCAAAUACAAGAUUGAAGAUGCUUAAUCUCUACCGAAGUUUCAUUAUAACUUUUCUUCAUUUUUAAAAGCAUCCGCUUGGCUUUGACAGCCCUCUUCUUAGUGCGACUGGCAUCUUUCUCUAGAGUAUCAAGGCAGGCCUUGAUCGACACCACUUGUGGUAAGGGAUCAGCUUCAAGAAA
Molecule: long non-coding RNA, 521 nt
Filed under: Elaeis guineensis (African oil palm)
Lineage: Eukaryota; Viridiplantae; Streptophyta; Magnoliopsida; Arecales; Arecaceae
Description: long non-coding RNA (EGUI_LNC025091)
Source: RNAcentral